UGGGGGAUAUUGCACAAUGGGCGAAAGCCUGAUGCAGCGACGCCGCGUUGGGGAUGAAGGCUUUCGGGUUGUAAACCUCUUUCGCUAUCGAACAAGGCCCGCUUAGGGUGGGUUGAGGGUAGGUGGAGAAGAAGCGCCGGCUAACUACGUGCCAGCAGCCGCGGUAAUACGUAGGGCGCGAGCGUUGUCCGGAAUUAUUGGGCGUAAAGGGCUUGUAGGCGGCUUGUUGCGCCUGCUGUGAAAACGCGGGGCUUAACUUCGCGCGUGCAGUGGGUACGGGCAGGCUUGAGUGUGGUAGGGGUGACUGGAAUUCCAGGUGUAGCGGUGGAAUGCGCAGAUAUCUGGAGGAACACCGAUGGCGAAGGCAGGUCACUGGGCCAUUACUGACGCUGAGGAGCGAAAGCAUGGGUAGCGAACAGG
This 420-nucleotide ribosomal RNA is filed under the name bacterium. Its description in RNAcentral is "partial 16S ribosomal RNA". It matches the Rfam family "Bacterial small subunit ribosomal RNA", at positions 355 to 776 of the family's 1533-position model. The record is from RNAcentral.